RNAcentral lists this ribosomal RNA (776 nucleotides) under uncultured Neocallimastigales. RNAcentral's name for it is "partial large subunit ribosomal RNA". It matches the Rfam family "Eukaryotic large subunit ribosomal RNA", at positions 22 to 634 of the family's 3401-position model. Lineage: Eukaryota; Fungi; Neocallimastigomycota; Neocallimastigomycetes; Neocallimastigales. The record is from RNAcentral.
GUACACGCUGUGACUAGCAUAUCAAUAAGCGGAGGAAAAGAAACUAACAAGGAUUCCCUUAGUAACGGCGAGUGAAGCGGGAAGAGCUCAAAUUUGAAAUCUUCAAGGUUUUACCUUGACGAAUUGUAGUUUAAAGAAGUGUUUUUCUGCUGAAGUUUUGGUAAAAGUUCUUUGGAAUAGGACAUCAUAGAGGGUGAGAAUCCCGUAUUUGACCAUUAUUUUCAGCUUUGUGAUACACUUUCAAAGAGUCGGAUUGUUUGGGAAUGCAGUCCAAAAUGGGUGGUAAAUUUCAUCUAAAGCUAAAUAUUGGCGAGAGACCGAUAGCGAACAAGUACCGUGAGGGAAAGAUGAAAAGAACUUUGAAAAGAGAGUUAAACAGUACGUGAAAUUGUCAAAAGGGAAGCGUUUGACACCAGUGUUGUUUUCUCGAAAAUCAAUUAAAAAUGGCUCGAUUUUGUAUUGCUGAGACCUUAAAAGCUCACUGUACAUUUUUCGUGUCUUUUUUAAUGCACUUUUCGUUUAACAAGUCAACAUCAGUUUCUUUUGUUGUAAAAGGGUCAUUGGAAGGUGGCUUUCUUUUCGGAGAAAGUGUUUAUAAGCCUUUGGCCUCUGCAAUCGAAGAGACUGAGGUCUGCAGCGUAGACUCUUCGGGGUUAGAUACAUUUGUGCUAAGUUAUAGCUUUUUAUAGACAACUUGUUGACUAUAAUUAGUCUUGUAGCUUACUCGCUUAUGCUAUUUUACCUACGCUUAGGAUGUUGAACUACUGAGACAUAGA